AUCCGGAUGAAGAGUCCUAAAUAGGACGAAAUGCACGUUAUCUUGCAU
RNAcentral lists this non-coding RNA (48 nucleotides) under Trichobilharzia regenti. Lineage: Eukaryota; Metazoa; Platyhelminthes; Trematoda; Strigeidida; Schistosomatidae. The record is from RNAcentral.